Molecule: ribosomal RNA, 253 nt
Filed under: uncultured bacterium
Lineage: Bacteria
Description: partial 16S ribosomal RNA
Rfam family: Bacterial small subunit ribosomal RNA
Source: RNAcentral
UACGUAGGGGGCUAGCGUUGUCCGGAAUCAUUGGGCGUAAAGAGCGUGUAGGCGGUCCGGUAAGUCCGCUGUGAAAGUCGGGGGCUCAACCCUCGGAUGCCGGUGGAUACUGUCGGGCUUGAGUACGGAAGAGGCGAGUGGAAUUCCUGGUGUAGCGGUGAAAUGCGCAGAUAUCAGGAGGAACACCGGUGGCGAAGGCGGGUCUCUGGGCCGAUACUGACGCUGAGGAGCGAAAGCGUGGGGAGCAAACAGG